GACGAACGCUGGCGGCGUGCUUAACACAUGCAAGUCGAGCGGUAAGGCCCUUUCGGGGGUACACGAGCGGCGAACGGGUGAGUAACACGUGGGUGACCUGCCCUCAGCUCUGGGAUAAGCCCGGGAAACUGGGUCUAAUACUGGAUAUGACUCCAUGACGCAUGUUGUGGGGUGGAAAGCCUUGUGCGGCUGAGGAUGGGCCCGCGGCCUAUCAGCUUGUUGGUGGGGNGAUGGCCUACCAAGGCGACGACGGGUAGCCGGCCUGAGAGGGCGACGGCCACACUGGGACUGAGACACGGCCCAGACUCCUACGGGAGGCAGCAGUGGGGAAUCUUGCGCAAUGGGCGAAAGCCUGACGCAGCGACGCCGCGUGAGGGAUGACGGCCU
This 387-nucleotide ribosomal RNA is filed under the name uncultured bacterium. RNAcentral describes it as "bacterial SSU rRNA". It matches the Rfam family "Bacterial small subunit ribosomal RNA", at positions 28 to 417 of the family's 1533-position model. The record is from RNAcentral.